RNAcentral lists this ribosomal RNA (483 nucleotides) under uncultured bacterium. RNAcentral's name for it is "bacterial SSU rRNA". It matches the Rfam family "Bacterial small subunit ribosomal RNA", at positions 45 to 507 of the family's 1533-position model. The record is from RNAcentral.
UGUCUUAAGCAUGCAAGUCGAACGGCAGCAGGCCAUGUAGCAAUAUAUGGUGCUGGCGAGUGGCGAACUGGUGAGUAACACGUAAGAAUCUGCCCUAAGGUGGGGGAUAACUCAUGGAAACAUGAGCUAAUACCGCAUAAUGCGAAGCUUAUAGAGAUAUAAGUUUUGUUAAAGGAGAAAUCCGCCAUAGGAUGAGCUUGCGUCCCAUUAGCUAGUUGGCGGGGUAAAUGCCCACCAAGGCUAUGAUGGGUAGCUGGCCUGAGAGGGUGGUCAGCCACACUGGGACUGAGAUACGGCCCAGACUCCUACGGGAGGCAGCAGUCGAGAAUAGUCUACAAUGGUCGGAAGACUGAUAGUGCGACGCCGCGUGAACGAUGAAUCCCUUCGGGGUGUAAAGUUCUUUUAUACGUGAGCAGUGUCCUUUAUAUUAAUAGUAUAAGGGGAGAGAUAUUAGCGUAUGAAUAAGCAACGGCUAACUCCGUG